This 72-nucleotide transfer RNA is filed under the name Camelus bactrianus (Bactrian camel). It matches the Rfam family "tRNA". From Rfam's summary of the family: Transfer RNA (tRNA) molecules are approximately 80 nucleotides in length. Their secondary structure includes four short double-helical elements and three loops (D, anti-codon, and T loops). Further hydrogen bonds mediate the characteristic L-shaped molecular structure. tRNAs have two regions of fundamental functional importance: the anti-codon, which is responsible for specific mRNA codon recognition, and the 3' end, to which the tRNAs corresponding amino acid is attached (by aminoacyl-tRNA synthetases). tRNAs cope with the degeneracy of the genetic code in two manners: having more than one tRNA (with a specific anti-codon) for a particular amino acid; and 'wobble' base-pairing, i.e. permitting non-standard base-pairing at the 3rd anti-codon position. Lineage: Eukaryota; Metazoa; Chordata; Mammalia; Artiodactyla; Camelidae. RNAcentral also lists the same sequence under 1 other name. The record is from Rfam by way of RNAcentral.
GAGGGUAUAGCUCAGUGGUAGAGUGCACGCUUAGUAUGCAUGAGGUCAUGGGUUCAAUCCCCAGGACCUCCG